UACGUAGGGAGCAAGCGUUGUCCGGAAUCAUUGGGCGUAAAGCGCGCGUAGGUGGCUUCGUAAGUCCGUUGUGAAAGUCAAAGGCUCAACCUUUGAAAGCCGAUGGAUACUGCGGGGCUAGAGUACGGAAGAGGCGAGUGGAAUUCCUGGUGUAGCGGUGGAAUGCGCAGAUAUCAGGAGGAACACCAAUAGCGAAGGCAGCUCGCUGGGACGGUACUGACGCUGAGGCGCGAAAGCUAGGGGAGCAAACGGG
RNAcentral lists this ribosomal RNA (253 nucleotides) under uncultured bacterium. Its description in RNAcentral is "partial 16S ribosomal RNA". It matches the Rfam family "Bacterial small subunit ribosomal RNA", at positions 524 to 776 of the family's 1533-position model. The record is from RNAcentral.